CGGGGUACACGAGCGGCGAACGGGUGAGUAACACGUGGGUGAUCUGCCUCGUACUCUGGGAUAAGCCUGGGAAACUGGGUCUAAUACCGGAUAUGACCACGAAUCGCAUGGUUUGUGGUGGAAAGAUUUAUCGGUGCGAGAUGGGCCCGCGGCCUAUCAGCUUGUUGGUGGGGUAAUGGCCUACCAAGGCGACGACGGGUAGCCGGCCUGAGAGGGCGACCGGCCACACUGGGACUGAGACACGGCCCAGACUCCUACGGGAGGCAGCAGUGGGGAAUAUUGCACAAUGGGCGGAAGCCUGAUGCAGCGACGCCGCGUGCGGGAUGACGGCCUUCGGGUUGUAAACCGCUUUCGACAGGGACGAAGCGUGAGUGACGGUACCUGUAGAAGAAGCACCGGCCAACUACGUGCCAGCAGCCGCGGUAAUACGUAGGGUGCGAGCGUUGUCCGGAAUUACUGGGCGUAAAGAGCUUGUAGGCGGUUUGUCGCGUCGUUCGUGAAAACUUGGGGCUCAACCCCAAGCUUGCGGGCGAUACGGGCAGACUAGAGUACUGCAGGGGAGACUGGAAUUCCUGGUGUAGCGGUGAAAUGCGCAGAUAUCAGGAGGAACACCGGUGGCGAAGGCGGGUCUCUGGGCAGUAACUGACGCUGAGAAGCGAAAGCGUGGGUAGCGAACAGGAUUAGAUACCCUGGUAGUCCACGCCGUAAACGGUGGGUACUAGGUGUGGGGUUUCCUUCCACGGGAUCCGU
RNAcentral lists this ribosomal RNA (750 nucleotides) under Nocardia sp. RNAcentral's name for it is "bacterial SSU rRNA". It matches the Rfam family "Bacterial small subunit ribosomal RNA", at positions 83 to 844 of the family's 1533-position model. The record is from RNAcentral. Lineage: Bacteria; Bacillati; Actinomycetota; Actinomycetes; Mycobacteriales; Nocardiaceae.